UGCCGCGUGCCGGAUGAAGGCCUUCUGGGUUGUAAACGGCUUUUCUCAGGGAAGAAAACGGGUCUGCGGACCACACUGACGGUACCUGAGGAAUAAGCACCGGCUAACUCCGUGCCAGCAGCCGCGGUAAUACGGAGGGUGCAAGCGUUGUCCGGAUUUAUUGGGUUUAAAGGGUGCGUAGGUGGCCUGUUAAGUCCGGGGUGAAAGCCCACAGCUCAACUGUGGAACUGCCCUGGAUACUGGCGGGCUUGAGAGUAGUAGAGGGUGGCGGAAUAGACGCUGUAGCGGUGAAAUGCAUAGAUAGCGUCUAGAACCCCGAUUGCGAAGGCAGCUGCCUAUGCUACAUCUGACACUGAGGCACGAAAGCGUGGGGAGCGAACAGGAUUAGAUACCCUGGUAGUCCACGCCGUAAACGAUGGAUACUCGCUGGUAGCGAUACACAGUUACUGGCUUAGCGAAAGCGUUAAGUAUCCCACCUGGGGAGUACGCUCGCAAGAGUGAAACUCAAG
This 509-nucleotide ribosomal RNA is filed under the name Hymenobacter sp. AT01-02. Its description in RNAcentral is "bacterial SSU rRNA". It matches the Rfam family "Bacterial small subunit ribosomal RNA", at positions 395 to 905 of the family's 1533-position model. Lineage: Bacteria; Pseudomonadati; Bacteroidota; Cytophagia; Cytophagales; Hymenobacteraceae. The record is from RNAcentral.